UUACAUUUAAUCAUCUCCCUCGUCGCUUAAGUCAAUUGGGUUGUCCUCAACAGUUCAUGGGCACCUCCUUUUGGAUGCGAACCAAAAUAACAGGUUCUUCCGCUCCGUCUCAUCUUGUUAAAAUUGUACACGGGCACAUUCGCCUUGCUUUUUUGUCCGAUUCCUUCACAUUCGAUACCAUGUCAUGUCACAGUGGUUUUUGCUUUCUUCUUCUCACCCUCUUUCUUUAAUUGAGCAGCAUCACCCUGUUUCUGAGACAUAUCUACACAAUGCAAACAUCAGAUCAAAACAUACCCUAAUCCUAAAAAAUUUACCACAAAUUUCUAACAAUUUCACAAUUUCUACCACAAUUCAAUCAAUUCUCUCUAAUAAUUAUCUAACAAUUCAAUCAAAUUGUAAACAUCUAACAUCAUAAAAUCAAAAAUCAAAAAUCAACAAAACCUAAAUAUGUGAAAAUUUAUCCAAAAAAUCUAACAAUUCAAUAAAAAAAAAAAAAAAACCAAUGCAAUAGGAUAAUAAGCACUUACUUGAUUUUAUGAUUGUUUUUUUGAACAAGCUAAAAUGAAAUUAAAUAGAACAAAAGGAGUGGUUCAUCUCACACAAGGCGUGCAAAAGAGAACUACUCAAAGUUUGUACAAGUUAGGUCACUGCUGCCACAGAAAACAAAAGCAAAUAGGCAAAAAAAAAAAAAAACAGAAGAAAAACACCAAAUUUACUGUAAAACUCCCAUGCAAAGUAAAAGAUGUCUCCACCAAUCAUGAUAGCUAAAAGAACAGGUUGACAUAUAUGCCUUUAACCACCGAAAGGAAAGCAUUUUUACCCUGUCGGUCAUCUGUUGUAACUCUGAUGCCUUCUGAUUAAAAACACAGUUGUUCCUUUCCUUCCAAAUUGAUUUUAUGAUUGUAAUUGGCGUUGAAUGACUUAAGCUUGGAGAAAAUCGCAACUUUCUUGAUCAAAACCGCAAAUGGAGUUUUAGAGAUUCUUAUAAAGCUGUUUUGAUUUUAUAACAUAACCCAGUGUGAGUUAACUCACACUAACUUAAAUCAGGUAGCGAGCAUGACUUAAAUCAUGCUAGUGUAUACACCUCCGUGAAUUAACUCAUACCUAUUGGGAGAAGAUCAAUUUUCCUCUAAUAUAGGUCCUGUGAUUUGUGACAAUUUACCUUUUAUAUCUUAGACAUCGUAGUUCUAAGAGGCAUACUUGGGGUAGUAAUCAACUUGUAAAAGUUUUAAGACUUUUUACGAAAAAAAAUGUAAAUUGGUGACAUAUUAAGCCUCGCUUAAGUGUUUCACUUUUUGGAAUUUGUAGUAAAAAUCACG
This 1319-nucleotide long non-coding RNA is filed under the name Medicago truncatula (barrel medic). RNAcentral describes it as "long non-coding RNA (MTRU_LNC008353)". The record is from RNAcentral. Lineage: Eukaryota; Viridiplantae; Streptophyta; Magnoliopsida; Fabales; Fabaceae.